CCCGGUAAAUGUGCGCGAGCGAGAGUGAAAGCACCCUGACCUCCUCAUUAUUCUCCGCCUUGAAGUUCAUUGAAAAGCGACAUUGUUUCUUUAAGAUUGCACUUGCAGCCAUCGGCUACUCUGUCCAUUGUUGGGGGAACAGAACUCGAGUUGAGAUUGAUAUACGGGGGCCGCGGUCGAGUCGCGCAUAUCAUCAGCGGAGCAGCUGCAGAGCAGGCGGCCGACGGGACCUGAACGCACCACUCCAGACAUGGGUUGCUAUGAUUGCUGUAUGCGCUGUUUGGGUGGGGUACCCUACUGCUCCCUGGUCGCCACGCUGCUUUGCUUCUCCGGCAUCGCCCUCUUCUGCGGCUGUGGGCACCAGGCGCUCACGGAAACCGAGAGACUCAUCGAGAAUUACUUUGCUCGUAACCUUCAGGAUUACAUCACCCUCGCUUACAUCAUCCAAUAUUUCCAGUAUGUCAUCUAUGGCUUGGCCUCGUUUUUCUUCCUCUACUGCAUCGUGCUUCUGGCAGAGGGUUUCUACACCACAAGCGCUGCCAAGCAAACCUUCGGAGAGUUCAGGAGCACCAUGUGCGGCCGCUGCCUCAGCUCCUCGUUUAUAGUGAUGACGUAUGUGCUGGCCGUCCUGUGGCUGCUGGUCUUCGCUUUCUCGGCCUUGCCCGUCUACUUCUUCUACAACAUGGACGCGACCUGCCACACCAUUGACGUUCUGACAGAGACCCCGGCCAGCAUCAACCAGCUCUGUGUGGAUGCGCGACAGUACGGACUCUUGCCUUGGAAUGCAGUACCAGGGAAAGCUUGUGGCAUGACCUUGUCCAAUGUUUGCAAGACUAGAGAGUACCGAAUGACCUACGACCUUUAUAUUGCUGCCUUUGCCGGCGCGGGCAUCACCCUCUUGGCUCUGCUGACCUAUACUGUGUCAACCACCUAUAACUUUGCGGUGCUGCGGUAUCUGGGGAGAAAGGGCAUAGGCGCACGGUGUUAGGCACACCCAUCCUCCUGUCGACUCUGUCUGCUAUGCCACCAACAAGGGGAACUAAAGGACUGACACACAUCCACCAGAUGUUCAUCAUCCCAUUACCAAAAUGUUUGUGCACUGUUCCCUUCACUUGGCUGUGUACCAGGCGCACCUGAGGAAGCUCAGGCACAGGGCGAAAGAGGAGAGGAGAGGCUGCGACCUGUACAGGAGGCUGCAGAGGGACAGAGGGGGGCUGCUGCGCUCUCCCUACCCUGCAAACACCACCGACUCCCCCUGAUGGCAUCUCCAGUCCUGCUGCACCGUACCCAGCACACACCGGCAUCUCAGCAAUUUGUUUCUAUUUCAGUUAAAUGACCUAAUUUGUGAUAUUUCCCUUCAUGUUUUCAUUAAAAUGCAUGCAUUUGUGUUCAAAAAAUGCUAAAAUCUUUCCUUUUCAGACUGAGUUUAACGGCCCAGUGUUCUGUUCUGCAUGUGACCACCGCAUAUAGAUUUUGCACACCUGGGUUUUUCCAUUUAAAUCAGAUUCAGAAAUGUGUAUCUGGGAGACUUGAUUUCUUUCCUCCCGUCGCCUCACCCAGGUCUGAUUUCACAGUAUGCGGCGCAUGCUUGAUAUCCUCGUUUAAUGAAGGGAAAAUAAAAAUGCAGAGCAUGUUUGAUAUCCUUUUUGUUUUAAUGAAGACGAACAGCGCUCGCUGUCUCUCG
Salarias fasciatus (jewelled blenny) is the source of this 1684-nucleotide RNA transcript. It is a transcript of the gene named proteolipid protein 1a, with no coding region annotated. The transcript has 9 exons. The record is from RefSeq and is a predicted model, not a curated record. NCBI's taxonomy places the organism in Eukaryota, Metazoa, Chordata, Actinopteri, Blenniiformes, Blenniidae.